This 55-nucleotide transfer RNA is filed under the name Ignisphaera aggregans. RNAcentral describes it as "tRNA-Gly". It matches the Rfam family "tRNA", at positions 18 to 64 of the family's 71-position model. Rfam says of the family: Transfer RNA (tRNA) molecules are approximately 80 nucleotides in length. Lineage: Archaea; Thermoproteati; Thermoproteota; Thermoprotei; Desulfurococcales; Desulfurococcaceae. The record is from RNAcentral.
GUCUAGGACGCCGGCCUGCCAAGCCGGAGAUCCCGGGUUCAAAUCCCGGCCGCCG